RNAcentral lists this ribosomal RNA (377 nucleotides) under uncultured bacterium. RNAcentral describes it as "partial 16S ribosomal RNA". It matches the Rfam family "Bacterial small subunit ribosomal RNA", at positions 523 to 898 of the family's 1533-position model. The record is from RNAcentral.
AGACGUAGGGGGCGAGCGUUGUCCGGAAUUACUGGGCGUAAAGGGCGUGUAGGCGGCCUUUCAAGUCGGCUGUGAAAUACCCCGGCUCAACCGGGGGGGUGCAGUCGAAACUGGGGGGCUUGAGUGCAGGAGAGGGGGGUAGAAUUCCCGGUGGAGCGGUGAAAUGCGUAGAUAUCGGGAGGAACACCAGUGGCGAAGGCGGCUUCCUGGACUGUACCUGUCGCUGAGGCGCGAAAGCUGGGGGAGCAAACAGGAUUAGAUACCCUGGUAGUCCCAGCCGUAAACGAUGGGUACUAGGUGUGGGUGGUUUCGAUACCAUCCGUGCCGUAGUUAACGCAUUAAGUACCCCGCCUGGGGAGUACGUGCGCAAGCAUGAA